This 200-nucleotide ribosomal RNA is filed under the name uncultured bacterium. RNAcentral's name for it is "partial 16S ribosomal RNA". It matches the Rfam family "Bacterial small subunit ribosomal RNA", at positions 8 to 222 of the family's 1533-position model. The record is from RNAcentral.
AGAGUUUGAUCCUGGCUCAGAAUCAACGCUGGCGGCGUGCCUAACACAUGCAAGUCGAACGAGAAAGUGGAGCAAUCCAUGAGUAAAGUGGCGACCGGGUGAGUAACACGUGACUACCUACCCUCGAGUGGGGAAUAACCCCGGGAAACCGGGGCUAAUUCCGCAUAAGAUCCGCAAGGAUGAAAGCCGCAAGGCGCCGA